AGCCUUCCUAGAUCCCCUCCACUCGAUUUCUCUCUUUGCAGCAGCACCGGCAGCACCAGUGUGUGAGGGGAGCAGGCAGCGCUCCCAGCCAGUUCCUUGAUCCUGCCAGACCACCCAGCCCCCGGCACAGAGCUGCUCCACAGGCACCAUGAGGAUCAUGCUGCUAUUCACAGCCAUCCUGGCCUUCAGCCUAGCUCAGAGCUUUGGGGCUGUCUGUAAGGAGCCACAGGAGGAGGUGGUUCCUGGCGGGGGCCGCAGCAAGAGGGAUCCGGAUCUCUACCAGCUGCUCCAGAGACUCUUCAAAAGCCACUCAUCUCUGGAGGGAUUGCUCAAAGCCCUGAGCCAGGCUAGCACAGAUCCUAAGGAAUCAACAUCUCCCGAGAAACGUGACAUGCAUGACUUCUUUGUGGGACUUAUGGGCAAGAGGAGCGUCCAGCCAGAGGGAAAGACAGGACCUUUCUUACCUUCAGUGAGGGUUCCUUGACCCCUUCAUCCCAAUCAGCUUGGAUCCACAGGAAAGCUUUCCCUGGGAACAGAGGAGCAGAGACCGUUAUAAUACUCUCUUACUGAUGUCAAUCAAGAGAACGUCCCCAGCUUUGGCAUCCUCAAGUAUCCCCCGAGAGCAGAAUGAGGUAUUAAAGCUCAUAGAUUUGCCCUGAAAUAUACUGCCGGUGCCUAGCACACUGUCAGUCAAACACAAAGACACUUAGAGGCACAUGUGUUUGUACACAUCCUCCCGUCUUUCAUCUCUUUCCUCUGGAUCAUGGACCGCAGCUGACUAUUGAGCAGGAUACUCCACUUCCGGACUCCUGCACUGCAUCAGGAAGACCUCUUUCCCUGUCCCAAUCCCCAGGUGCGCACGCUCCUGUUACCCUUUCUCUUCCCCGUUCUUGUAACAUUCUUGUGCUUUGACUCCUUCUCCAUCUUUUCUACCUGACCCUGGUGUGGAAACUGCAUAGUGAAUAUCCCCAAUCCCAAUGGGCAUUGACUGUAGAAUCUCCUAGAGUUCCUGUAGUGUCCUACAUUAAAAAUAUAAUGUCUCUCUCUACUCCUCAACAAUAAAGGAUUUUUUGCAUAU
Nomascus leucogenys (northern white-cheeked gibbon) is the source of this 1078-nucleotide RNA transcript. It is a transcript of the gene named tachykinin precursor 3, with no coding region annotated. The transcript is spliced from 9 exons. The record is from RefSeq and is a predicted model, not a curated record. NCBI's taxonomy places the organism in Eukaryota, Metazoa, Chordata, Mammalia, Primates, Hylobatidae.